UACGUAGGGAGCGAGCGUUGUCCGGAUUCAUUGGGCGUAAAGCGCUUUAAGGCGGUUCGCUAAGUCGCGUGUGAAACCUCCAGGCUCAACCUGGAGACGCCACGCGAUACUGGCGUGACUAGAGUUCGGUAGGGGAUCACGGAAUUCCUUGUGUAGCGGUGAAAUGCGUAGAUAUCGGGAGGAACACCAGUGGCGAAGGCGACUACCUGGCCUGUUCUUGACGCUGAGGCGCGAAAGCUAGGGGAGCAAACGGG
Molecule: ribosomal RNA, 254 nt
Filed under: uncultured bacterium
Lineage: Bacteria
Description: partial 16S ribosomal RNA
Rfam family: Bacterial small subunit ribosomal RNA
Source: RNAcentral